Molecule: long non-coding RNA, 467 nt
Organism: Mirounga angustirostris (Northern elephant seal)
Lineage: Eukaryota; Metazoa; Chordata; Mammalia; Carnivora; Phocidae
Exons: 2
Source: RefSeq, a predicted model, not a curated record
UGCGGUCACAUUUGUCAUAGGCCAGCUUCAGCCGGAUGGUUCUCCGGAAGAAACCCUGUGGGAUGGACGCACGGUUGGGGAGGGGCUACGGUGGGCCGAUUCUACAUUCAAUGUUCAAGGCUAUGCUGGAAGGUUCAUCAGCACUCCCGGGAGCCACCGGGUAAGUGACCGACGAGGGGCUCGAAGCUGGUGAGAGGGUGUCUGAGAACAGAGGAGAAACACUGAUGAGCAUUCCAGACACCAUCAUCGAUUUCUAUACCAGGUUUACGAGGACAUGAUUGCAUGUGGGAGGUGCCGGCUAGUGGGCAGACUUCCCGGCCUGGGCUGGCCCCUGUCCUGGGCUGUCCCACCCCUGCCUGUGUGCCUCCAGUUACCAUUGUGGCAUCCCCAAACCUGCCGCUAGGCCGCCCCCGGGUUCUGGACCCACACACCCAGCUGUCUCCCCUCCCCCACCCCAGCUCGGCCUA